GAGGAGGAUGUAGAGAGGUGAGGAAAGAUGACGAUAAUGAACCAAGGAGGAAGGAGGAGUCGCGGCCGCCAUUCAGGUUCGGGAGAGACCGUCACCGUCACCACAGGUCUCCUCUCUCUGUCUCUCUCUCCCCUCCUGCAGCCACCAUGCUCGCCCUCAGGCCCGCAGCCUCCCGCCUCGCCCAAGCCGCCUCCACCAUGGUGAUGACCACCAGGACCACCGUCAUCGCGGGCCCGCCAGCAAACAAAGUUUCCGCGGCGGAAAAGGCGGUUCAUGCUGCCGUGAUCAUAUCUGGGUGUGUUGCCACCCCUGCAUACAUUCUUGUGCACAUUAAGGAUUACCGUGGUCGUGAGGCAUAGAGCAAUUGAUGUAAACCAUUGUUAUUCAGGUUAAAUCUGCACAUAUUUACUUAAACCAGCUCAUGUGUGAAAUUAUAUUCAAUCCUCAAAGGUUGUAUGCAGUCAUGGUAAAGUUCUUCUGAGAAUAAUUUUGUACAUAAUAAAUGAGAUAAAUAUU
This is a long non-coding RNA of Procambarus clarkii (red swamp crayfish), 516 nucleotides long. RefSeq lists it as uncharacterized. NCBI's taxonomy places the organism in Eukaryota, Metazoa, Arthropoda, Malacostraca, Decapoda, Cambaridae. The record is from RefSeq and is a predicted model, not a curated record.